UGUUACAGAAGGGCUGCGCUUUUUUAAAAAGCGCAACCCUUCUAUAACAGUAGGGCUGCGCUUUUUAUAAACGCGCAGCCCUUCUAUGGGCUUUUUUUUUUAAGAAUUAAGCGCCUCUCUCUCCUCUCUAUCUCUCACGCCUCUCUCUCCUCUCUAUCUCUCACGCCUCUCUCUCUCUCUGCCUCUUCUAUCUCUCUGCCUCUUCUCUCUCACCCUCCCUCUUCUCUUGAAGGCAAGCAAAACCAGAGAGUUUUUCGUCCAUGGUCAUCUAAGAUUUUCGUCCAUGGUCGUUUCGAGCAUUUAUGCGGUUAUCCAGUCAAUUUGCAAACCGGCAAAGCCUGCAAAAGAAUAAACCGGAUCUAGGAGCGUUAGAUUUGAGGGAGCAGAAAAUAAAUGAGCAUUGCCAAGUUCAAGAAUCAAAAGAGAAGGACAUUAAUGAGCAGUUUCAGGCUUUGGAAUUGAAGGCGAAGCAGAUUGAAUCAGGGUCUUCAAACUCUUGAAUCGAAAGAGAAGCAAAUCGAUGAAAUCUUCGAUGUCAGAAAAUUGUCAACCGGAAACCUUUGUUUUGAUUUUCGUUCGGGAUUGUUCUAGUUUCAUUUUUGUUCAUUUUCGUUAUUUUUUUUCAUUUUUGUUCAUUUUAGUUGAACUUUGUUUUGAUGAAUUUAUGUAAUUUCAGGAAGACAAGUAUGGUGUUUUUGGUUUAUUGUGGAA
This is a long non-coding RNA of Beta vulgaris subsp. vulgaris (sugar beet), 711 nucleotides long. RefSeq lists it as uncharacterized. The record is from RefSeq and is a predicted model, not a curated record. NCBI's taxonomy places the organism in Eukaryota, Viridiplantae, Streptophyta, Magnoliopsida, Caryophyllales, Amaranthaceae. The transcript has 2 exons.